CUUCAAGCAUUUAUCAUAUCGUCCUAACUCAACCUCAGCAUCACGAGGGAGUUGACCAAUGAUGCGAUUGGUAUGAUCACCAACAGUAAAUUUGAAAUGUGAUAAUGGUGGAGAUGUUGGUAUGGUAUCCCAAUUAAAAUGGCUCAAUAGUUCCACAGUGGGGAAGUAGAACUGAAGUGUAUCUAAUGUUGUUACUGUGCAAACCUCCAAAACAACACGUCCCACAGAUGCUUUCCACCGAUCAUCUUCUGGACUCACAUCAAUAUAUAAAUUUUCCAACUUGGAUAGAUUUGGUAUAACCCCAACAGGAAUCACCGUCUUUGGUUGCUGAUUGAAACUGAUGGGUUCACGAAAUGACAAUUUUAAGGAUGUGAGAUUCUUCAGUCGUUCAACUUCUUUUGGUAGAGCUAUGAUCUCUGUCCCUUCAAGAUGAAAUACCUCAAGGCAACUCAGAUUUCCAAUUCCGGAUGGUAAUAAUUUUAACAGAACACAGUGAUUCAAAAAGAAGCUUUUAAGAUUGACCAAUUUGAAAAGAGGAUCCGGCAAAGACUUGAUGGGAGUUCUAGAUAAGUUUAGGAUUUGUAGAUUAAGCAUGCCCUGGAAAAAUGAGUCGGAUAUUUUCCUCAAUUUAAGGUUUCUUUGCAGGAACAAUGCUUGGGCUUGGGGGCAGCUCAGAUUCUCUGAUAACUCAGUUAGCUUAUUAUCCAUCAAGUAAAUCUCAUGGAACUUUGUCCAAUCCACAUCCUUUGGUAGCUCAGUCAAUUUACUAUUUUUCCUCAUAAGAAACAAUCCUUCUACAGAUGGAAAAACAUGUUCUAGUAAUAAACAGCGAUCUGUCUCAUGUAGCUUGAAAAUGUGUCCAUCCUCAGAACUCUCCAACAGGCCAGCAUUGACAAGAGUUUCAAGAACUUUUUGGCCUUUCUGAUACAUAUCUGUCAAGUCAUCAGAUAUCCAGUUGUCUAUCAAUGACUCUCUUGCAAUCUCCUGGUUCUCAAAAUACAGUGCGCAAUUUUUCAAGCAUCUUCUAGUUGUAUCAU
Molecule: unclassified non-coding RNA, 1037 nt
Filed under: Hevea brasiliensis (rubber tree)
Lineage: Eukaryota; Viridiplantae; Streptophyta; Magnoliopsida; Malpighiales; Euphorbiaceae
Source: RNAcentral